CCUGUGGGUUAUUAUUUUAAAAAACUUUUUUGGAUUUACUUUUUUAGAUAACUUAAGCCAUAAAGAGUGCUUGUUACAGGCAAUGCUGUACAUGUAGAAUACUUUAUAGUUUGCAAAAUAUUUGUCCUUUUAUGAGAUGCAUUUAAAAGUACACUUGAAGAAAUCAAGGGACAGCUUGAUAAUAUAUCUUAAUUUCAGCAAGGCAGAGUAAUUUAUUGUAAUCGUGAUAGCAAGAUUUCAUAUAGGCAAUAGUACAUUUGAGUGGACUUAAACUAAUUUUGAACUUCUGUUUUGAUGUGUUUAAUAGUUAUUUGUCAACAUGUCAAGUUCCAUAAAGCUCUGUCCUGUCCAGUUUAAAUUUGUGUGUGUGUGUGUGCGUGUGCGUGUGUGCGCGCAUGCAUGCGUGCGUGCGCAUGUGAUCAGUUUAGGGGGACACGAAGUAUGGAGGGAAGCUAAAAGAGAAUUACAAUUCAGAAAGAUUUGGGGCUGAAACACAAGUAAAACCAACAAGAAACAGUUUAGGUGGGAGAAAUGUAAAUCUAGUUAGGAUUUUUAGAAAUUGCAUUUGCAAGUCCAAAAUAUGGACAGGAAUCCGUCUUGGCAUUUUUUCACGUGAGAGCCAAUGUGUUAGUUUAUUGCAGGCUUUUUAUGGGUCAAGCAUGAUUUCUCUGCCUUAAAAGGUGGGAAUGCAACCUUGGUUUAGAACACAUUAAUUACACAAAGCCGUCUUCAUUCAUUGAUUGCCAGUUCUCAUUUGCAACUGGUGUUUGAUUUUGGGUGUCUUUGUUGUUUUUAAGUGAAACAUUGCUUAGCUAGGUUCCAUUCAAAGGAGGAGGAGGUCGAGGAUGGUGAGUAGACGGUAGCCCGUGUUAGCAGCUUUCCAGGCAUCUCCCUUGCAGUGUUUUGCUGUCCUAGGGGGCAGAUCUGAAGCCAUGAGUGGAGAUGACCUCAUUGUAAGAAGAAUCAUUACAAUGCCUGGGUCUAUCCAGUAGCAGAAUGGCUUACCUAGUGGAAUGAGCAUCUCUUCCCCAAAGUUCUUAGCAAAGGUGUUGCUGAUCAUGUCUGGGACAGUGCAUCCGGAUUUCCUAGUACUUGGCAGGAGGUAAAGUAGAUAGGCUCCGAGAUCUCUUCUUACUCCGCAAUUCUGUGAUAUCAAGUAAUUCACAGUGCUGGGGGCGCUUGGAUUGUUCUGUAUUUCAAUCAAGUUUUAUCAAAAGGAAAAUAGAAAAAGUAGUGGGAAGAACUGCUCUUAUUAUUGUAACAUAUAAACUGCUUGAUCUUUAUUUGUCCUCAUCUUUCUCAGUUGCUUAUAAAUUUUAAAUGGGAAUAUUGAGUGAGGAUCGGAGACAGGACGCCUUCAUCACAUUUGGAUUUGAGAUGUGCAUCUGACAGCAGGGUGUAUUUACGGUCAGUAUUUUAAUAGGCCCUUAGAUGUCAAACUUAGUUUAGAGGUGCUUCUUUUUAUCACCUCGCAAAUGGUAUUGUAAUAAUAUAAAUAUAGUGUGUCAAGACCAUUCUUGAUGUCAGUGGACUCCAUACUUAAAUAGCAAGUUCUGUCAGUAAAAAAAAUUCUAUACGCUACUAAUGUAUUUAUAAUUUCCCUUUUGUUUUUAAGCUGAAGAGUUUCUAGCAACUUACAGGUGCAUAGAUCUAUGUAAAUUAAUAAAAGGAUAUGAAAUGUAAGAAGGGUCCAUGCUAUGUAUGAAAUGUUUUGCAAAGCAUGUGAAGAAUGUAAGAUGCAUGCCCUUGAAAAGUAGACUGGUAAGGGGCGGGUGGCAACUUUUUUUGAGUAUUUAGCACAUGUAGUUUUGAACAUGUUGCUGGGACUUAAGAGCAGUCAGGACUGAAGAGAGAUUUGCAUUAAUAUGUAUAGGGUGAUCUUUGAAACCUAGAAUAGAUGAUAUCUGUAAGGCAGUAUAUAGUCAAAAGAACAAGCAGCUGAGUAUAAAACUUUGGAAAGCCCUCACUUUUAGAGGAUGGGUAGAGAAGGAGCUAGGAACCGUAACUGAAAGAGCAGUCGAAGGGGUAGGAGGGGUACCAGGAUAUACAGGCCCGCAGAAGCGAAGAGUGAGCAAAAAAAAAAGCCGGGUAGUCAGGGCUGUGAACUACCAUUCAUUCAGUGAGUGCCGCUUUGUGCCAGCGUUUAUUAAACAUACUCUUAACAGCAGGGUUCAUCCUCCAGAUGUUCCCCUGAGGUCAAGGGAGUGUGGUUUCAGGAAACUAGAAGGGAUGGAAGCUGAGUGGCAAGGAAGGAGCAGGUGUAGACCACUGACUGGAAAAGCAAGGCAGUGUCACAUGGCAGACGUCUAUCCACGCCACCAAGGCCUUUUUCCGAGAGACCUAAAGCACUGAUGGCCGGAGAAACCUGUUUGUAGUUGACAGGAAGAAGUGCUGACAGUUUAAAAGGAACUGUGAGGGCAUUCAUUUUUUAGGCCUAAUUUAUAAUUUUAGGCUUAAUUUAUAAUUAAAAUGUUGACAUAAAAUAUUUAGAAAUGACUAAAUAGGCCAUAUUUAAAUAUAGCCUCUGAACCCAUGCUCUUGGAUGUUUCCAACCUCAGGGAUGUAUAAAAUGUACCAGCCUUCACUGGUAGCAUGAAAAUAGAGCAUACCUCGAGUUACUCAUUCGCUGUUGGUUGAACAAGGAGAUACGAACCUUGUGAUAUCCUCUCUGGCCACAGUUUAACCCCUGAGAUCCAUUUUACUAUUUUAAAUCAACAAAUGUAACAGUGGCUAUUUUCUUGAAAAAAUUCCUACAAGGAAUUUCUGAGUUAAAAAUACACACACUGGCUGUCAUUGGUUACAAGGCUGUGUGUCCGGAACAUUUGCCUGGGGAAGUGGUGGAGGAGCCAUUUGGAAGCUCUUGGUAGCGCUGUGAGGAGUUUUUAAAAGUACAUUGAAGUGCUUUUGUUCAGGUGUAAAGCCCUUUGAGGGGUGGAUGGUGUGCAGUGUGCUAGUGUGUGGUUUCCAGCUGUGAAAAGCUGGAUGUUAACUCAUGAUUGUUUUAUGUACCAGCGUUUGUAGACUGUUUGUGAAUUAGGAUGGAUUCAAGACUGUCCCUCACAAGAAUACCACUUAGUUGCAUUUCAGCAUGCUCUCUCCAGAGGGAAAGAAAGAACCCAAUUAAAGCCACCAAGUCAUGAAUCAUAUGUAUGGCCCUAGAUAUGCCUGUCUGUGUGUCAGACAUGCAAAUGUCAAAUGGCCUGUGUCUUGUAGCAGGAAGAAAAUAUUUUCGAGUCAGUGAUUAGAGGAAAUAGCACAGGCUUCUUUCUCAGCCUAUAGGUAAACCUGGGUUCAAAUCCAUCACUGCCAUUUAGAAUCUAAGUGACUUUGAAUAGUAAACUCAAGUCACAUCCCUGAAUCUCACAGUCCUCCUCUCUAAAAUGAGGAUAACCACCUGCUUUAUUGGGUAAUGAGCAUUGAGCUCUGUUCCUGUACUUGGUAGAAAUUAAAACACAAAAAUGUGUUUCUUGUUAGCUGUCCACAAGGUACCACUCCCUGGAAGAGGCACUUGUGCAAAUGCAUUGCUGGACCGGGACAUCCAGUCUGUAUACGUCCUGCUGCCUGGAAUGUGGAUGUGGUAUCUGGCAUCCUAGCUGCCCUUUCAGACCUGAGGAUAAGGGUAACACCGUAAGGAUGGUGGAGCUGUGAGCCGGAAGAAGCCUUUGUCCCUGAAGACUUCACGAGCAAAUCUACUAUAGCAGCCCCUGGCUACCUACUUCUGUGCUUUUACACAACAGAGAGAGAAACGACUAUCUUAUCUUCCUCAUCGCAGAAAAAGGAUGACUCUACCCUAUGUUGUGGAAUUAAAUGAGAUGAUACAAAUGAAAUGCCUUACCCAGUACCUGGCACAUAGUAAGUACUGAACUGACAGUCACUUCCCUCACCACCAUUCCAACUUCUGCAACACAUUUUUUUUUGGCUGUGCCGUGCAGCAUGCAGGAUCUUAGUUCCCCAACCAGGGAUCAAACCCGUGCCCCCUGAAGUGGAAGCACGGGGCCCUAACCAUUGGACCACCAGGGAAUUCCCCACAAUUUUAAUUAAAUGGGAAAAGAUUUAUCAGUAUCCUUUAGCUGUAUGUCUCCCCUACUGGAGCGCAAGCUCUGUGAGGAAAUGGGGCCAGGUCUGUAUUAUUCAUUGCUACAUCUUUUGCAUAAGGCAGGUGCUCAAUAAAUAUUUUUAGGAUAAAUGAAUAACUGCUGUAUGCACUUAUUUGAUUUUUCAUUUUCACCUUCAAUGAGCUUAAUGUUCUUGUUUCCUUUUUCACAUCGUAUAAAUCAUCGACUUCUAUUUAUUCAGUGUGCACUGUUUUCCUACUGCAAACCAGCCAACGCCUGAGGAAGAAUGGAGUCUGGGCUCCUGGACAAGCCAGGCUGCUGGGCAGUCGGCGAGGUUGCUGGCCACUCUCUCCCCUGGAGAGGAUGAUGCCCGCAGAGGCACUGGGGGAGGCACUCAUCCCACUUUCACCUGCUGACCCCUACGGAGCACACAGCUCGCUCACUUACAUUCACGGGCUCCUUUCAUUCCCAUAAUAGUCCUUGGAGGGAGAAAUUGUUUUACUGUGUCAGGCAGGGGCCCAGAAGGGGACAGAUUAGCUCACCCAAGCUGGGGAACUGAGGAAUGUUUAAUAAAGGGAUUUUAUAAAAGUUUGAGCAGGGUUUAAGGAACCCUGCAAGGAAUAGUGUAGUCCCUGGGGCUGGUGACAGCUGGAGUCCUUAUCCCUCCUGAAGGGAUGAGAGGAGCCGCCAGCGGCAGCCACCCAGGAGGGAGGGAGCUGGAAGAACAAACUCCCUGGCCUCACUCUUCUCCUGCCAGGGCUCCCCAGUGGCCAAAGGCAACCGCAACCACGUGGUCCAGAGGGGUGGGCCUUCAGGCCAUGAGCAGGGUGAGAAAAGUCAAGAAUGACUCUGGAAGAGCAAACAGGGCAAGGCCUGAUGGUUCGACAGUACCAGGAGGGGGAACCCAGGCAGUCCAGCUUUUAGCUACUGGAGUUUUCCAUGAGGAGCCAAGAGAUGGUCAUGUCUGCGUGGGAUGAAUGGGUACCGCCCAGAUGGGGAAGGAAGACAGCCCCCUCUUUAUAAACGCAUACACACCCCUAUGCUGCUCUGUGAACUGACAGGAAACCACCUGCUGACUUAACUCCAGCAGCGUGGAAAUGUUGCAGUGAAUUUCCCCCAGCACAAGGCCCCAGCAGCAGUUAAGACCCUAGACUUGGGAAUCAGACUGGCCAGGACGUGAAUCACCAGCUAUGUGAGUUUGGGCCUCAUCCGUAAAAUGGAAACUGUCAUACCAACGGGGGUGUUGUUAGGGUUACAUGCAGUGUGCGAUUUGCUUUGCAUUCAUUAAACAUUAGCUAAAAACACUAUCUUGGUAACAGCUAUGGCUUUGCACUAUCAUAGUUUUUUGACCUAAUUACUUACUCAUUCCAACUUUCAGAAUCCUUUAAGAAUGGAUAUUUUUGUAACUGAGAAGAAGGAUAAUGGUACCACAUAGAGAUUUAUAGUUUUAAACUCCUUUCCCUUAGAUUAUCACAUGGGAUUGUUACAAAAACCCAGUGAGAAAGGCUACAGAAAUAUUACUCUGCCUCUUUUAAAGAUGGAGAAACUGACAGCCAAAGAGUCUCAGUGGCUUGUUCAAGGUCACUGAGGCAAUAAACGUGAUGGCAUCCCACUGAAAGGGCAACGCCCGCUAUCUGGUCUCCUAAAGGCAGAUGGAAGCUGCAGCUCAGAGGGGGCACCUUGUGUGUGCCCAUCUCUCUGCAGCCGUCUUUUGGCUGCAUCAUUUAACAAUGUGCGUUUCCCCAAGUUAUAAUUUUGUCCUUCGUUUGCAACAGAGAAUAUCAGAGCCGCUUCCUCCCGGUAAGCCUGCGAGCAGGGGAGUGGUGAGUGCCCACGGUCAGGUUGGCUGCACCCCACUCACUGCUGUUUAGGUUUCCUCAGUACAGACCACUCCUCCGGCCUCUCCUGGCAGAGAGCACUGCGUUCACUCCCCCAGCUUCACUAGUGCUUUCUCUGUGGCCGGGGAAGAAAGCAAAGCUUGCCCCCAGGCUUCACUUACUGGAGGUGCACGCUUUACAAAGAGAAGCCCAUCUCUGAAAGCACAGCAUGCAUUAGCACCCUCUCCUUCGGAGAGAGCUAUUUUUGUCUUUCGUCUUCAGAGACUGUUCCAAAGUAGGGGAUGCAAGAAUCAGGAGGAGAACCAAAAAAACCCAAGGUCUCCAGCUCAGAAGAGAGCAAAUCACUGUCAUUUCCUCAAACAAUUGCCGCAGCAGUGACGGAGAACAAACUGUGCUGGAGUCGAGCUGCCCUUGGGUACAGGACAACAUCCAGAAAGAGACAGAUCUCUUUCUGUGGGAUUUCUCUCCGUACACUUCGCCACUUCGCGGAACAAGGAUCAGAUUUGACUGAGAUUAAGAAAGAAGAGAAGGGGCUUCCCUGGUGGCACAGUGGUUGAGAAUCCUCCUGCCAAUGCAGGGGACACGGAUUCGAGCCCUG
Delphinapterus leucas (beluga whale) is the source of this 6491-nucleotide non-coding RNA. The record is from RefSeq and is a predicted model, not a curated record. NCBI's taxonomy places the organism in Eukaryota, Metazoa, Chordata, Mammalia, Artiodactyla, Monodontidae.